UGGGGUAUCGCCAAGCGGUAAGGCACCGGUUUUUGAUACCGGCAUUCCCUGGUUCGAAUCCGGUACCCUAGCCA
RNAcentral lists this transfer RNA (74 nucleotides) under Enterobacter cloacae subsp. cloacae. Its description in RNAcentral is "tRNA-Gln". It matches the Rfam family "tRNA". From Rfam's summary of the family: Transfer RNA (tRNA) molecules are approximately 80 nucleotides in length. Their secondary structure includes four short double-helical elements and three loops (D, anti-codon, and T loops). Lineage: Bacteria; Pseudomonadati; Pseudomonadota; Gammaproteobacteria; Enterobacterales; Enterobacteriaceae. The record is from RNAcentral.